UUUAUUAGUUGGUUUUAAGUGAAUUUGAAGCAUAACAUGGUAUUGUUCACGUGCUACAUGACCAUGCAAGCUCGUUUUUGCAAAUUUGCACUUUGCUUCAUUAUUUCCUUAAUCAUGAUUAACCAUUGCCUAAUUCUAAUUUCAGCAGCAUUAGUGAACCAUAUAAAAGCCAAACCCUAACUGUUUUUGCUCAUAACAGAAUUUGAGAUCUAGAAUUUUCCAUUUUCCCUCCAAUUUUCUCUCUCUUCAAUUUUCAUUUUUCUUC
RNAcentral lists this long non-coding RNA (265 nucleotides) under Lathyrus oleraceus (garden pea). RNAcentral describes it as "Pisum sativum (pea) long non-coding RNA (PSAT_LNC039039)". The record is from RNAcentral. Lineage: Eukaryota; Viridiplantae; Streptophyta; Magnoliopsida; Fabales; Fabaceae.